Molecule: unclassified non-coding RNA, 784 nt
Filed under: Hevea brasiliensis (rubber tree)
Lineage: Eukaryota; Viridiplantae; Streptophyta; Magnoliopsida; Malpighiales; Euphorbiaceae
Source: RNAcentral
AAGAAAUUCAGAUAACCAAAAGCUGUUACCUUUGGAAUCCCUCUCCCUUGUCUUGUUAAACCCAAUUCUGAGGUAGACUUUUAUAUUGGUCUUAAUACAAAAAUGGGAGCUUCCAAAUCAGUUCCACAGAAAUCAAUCUAUGAAUUUACUGUAAAGGACAGCAAAGGGAAAAAUGUAGACCUAAGCAUCUAUAAGGGAAAAGUGCUUCUUGUUGUUAAUGUUGCCUCUAAAUGUGGGUUCACAAGCACAAAUUAUACCCAAUUGACUCAACUCUACAACGAAUACAAGGAUAAAGAUUUUGAAGUCUUGGCCUUCCCCUGCAACCAAUUUUUGAAGCAAGAACCUGGUACAAGUGAGCAAGCUCAAGAAUUUGCUUGCACAAGAUUUAGCGCAGAAUAUCCCAUUUUCCAAAAGGUGCGAGUUAAUGGUCCAAAUGAGGCACCAGUCUACACAUUCCUUAAAGCAAGCAAAGGUGGUUUUCUCAGUAGAAGUAUCAAAUGGAAUUUCACCAAGUUUUUGGUUGAUAAGGAAGGGAAAGUUAUCCGGCGCUAUGGCUCAACCACUCCACCUUUAUCAAUCAAGGGAGAUAUCGAGAAGGCAUUGGGGGAGAAUUGAGAAGAUUGUAUCUUAGUAAAGAGGACAGUAGAAGAAGCUUUAUGACAAAAUUGUAUUUGCUAAUAGCUGGUGUGCUCUUUAAGUUUAAAUUCGUUCCUCUUUGUGACUUUGUUUGUAUGUGCUAAUAUUAUAUUGUAUAUUCUGUAUUUUAGCGGUGUCAAAAAUAAAU